GCCGUGGCGCAUAUGGUAGCGCAUUGGCCUACGGACCCAAGGGUCGUGGGUUCGGAUCUCACGGCCGGCA
Molecule: transfer RNA, 70 nt
Filed under: Magallana gigas (Pacific oyster)
Lineage: Eukaryota; Metazoa; Mollusca; Bivalvia; Ostreida; Ostreidae
Description: Crassostrea gigas (Pacific oyster) tRNA
Rfam family: tRNA
About the family: Transfer RNA (tRNA) molecules are approximately 80 nucleotides in length. Their secondary structure includes four short double-helical elements and three loops (D, anti-codon, and T loops). Further hydrogen bonds mediate the characteristic L-shaped molecular structure. tRNAs have two regions of fundamental functional importance: the anti-codon, which is responsible for specific mRNA codon recognition, and the 3' end, to which the tRNAs corresponding amino acid is attached (by aminoacyl-tRNA synthetases). tRNAs cope with the degeneracy of the genetic code in two manners: having more than one tRNA (with a specific anti-codon) for a particular amino acid; and 'wobble' base-pairing, i.e. permitting non-standard base-pairing at the 3rd anti-codon position.
Source: Rfam by way of RNAcentral